Molecule: ribosomal RNA, 253 nt
Filed under: uncultured prokaryote
Description: partial 16S ribosomal RNA
Rfam family: Bacterial small subunit ribosomal RNA
Source: RNAcentral
ACGGAGGGUGCAAGCGUUAUCCGGAUUCACUGGGUUUAAAGGGAGCGUAGAAGGGCAGGUAAGUCAGUGGUGAAAUCUCCGGGCUUAACCCGGAAACUGCCGCUGAUACUAUUUGUCUUGAAUAUUGUGGAGGUAAGCGGAAUAUGUCAUGUAGCGGUGAAAUGCUUAGAUAUGACAUAGAACACCCAUUGCGAAGGCAGCUUACUACACGAUCAUUGACGCUGAGGCACGAAAGCGUGGGGAGCAAACAGGA